GGGUUUAUAGCUCAGUUGGUUAGAGCACUAUCUUGACAUGGUAGGGGUCGUUGGUUCGAAUCCAAUUAAACCCACCA
RNAcentral lists this transfer RNA (77 nucleotides) under Aeromonas hydrophila. RNAcentral's name for it is "tRNA-Val". It matches the Rfam family "tRNA". Rfam says of the family: Transfer RNA (tRNA) molecules are approximately 80 nucleotides in length. Their secondary structure includes four short double-helical elements and three loops (D, anti-codon, and T loops). Lineage: Bacteria; Pseudomonadati; Pseudomonadota; Gammaproteobacteria; Aeromonadales; Aeromonadaceae. RNAcentral also lists the same sequence under 1 other name. The record is from RNAcentral.